CACAGGGAAAACUCAGAGAGGACCAAGAGAAGCAGAUACAGGACCUGAGAAGAGCCUGGAUGUCUUCAACAUCACGUUGGCCCGGCAACAAGCACAGAUGGAGGUGAUCCGGUCAGGGCAGAAGGUGGUAGCUAAGAAGGCUGUGGCCGGCCAGAAGCAGGGAGGAGGGUUUUUCAGCAGCUUCUUUGGAAGGAAGGAAGGGAAGAAGAAAGAGCAGGAACAGGAAACCCAGGAGGAAGAGGGUACAGGCAUUGAAGAGUUGAUGUCUGCUGAUGAGAAGAGC
This is a long non-coding RNA of Oncorhynchus gorbuscha (pink salmon), 283 nucleotides long. RefSeq lists it as uncharacterized. The record is from RefSeq and is a predicted model, not a curated record. NCBI's taxonomy places the organism in Eukaryota, Metazoa, Chordata, Actinopteri, Salmoniformes, Salmonidae. The transcript has 3 exons.